UGAACUGGGUCCCACCCAAAAUAGCCUUCAUUUUGCUGUGGACUAAGGAAACAGACCUUCAAGUGAGUAAAGAGUGCUUGCAAGCGAAACUUUACUCAUCAUAAAUGCAUGAAUGGUUGCUUUAUCUUAAUUUUCAUAGCCAAUCAUUGAUAUACAACUUGAAUAAAAGAAAAGAAGCAGAAGCAGAAAAGAAGAAGAAAGAUUAUUCCAGGCAUUCCAUAAUGAAGUAUACACCUAUAAAUAAGCUGCAGCAGAUGGAUCUACACAUACUAUUUCUACAGCUCAUGCUAAUUAUUUCUAGAAUCAAAGAGCAUAAAUUAUUAGAAUUUUAUAGGUUCUGAUAACCAAAAAUAAACAUCACAGUAAGUUGUAGCAGACAGGUGUAAGAAAACCACUUCUCUCUGAAUGGUCCUUCACCCUUCAACUUGAAGGCUUUGGAGAAAAGCCCAAAGUGAACAAGCGACAAGGAGGAAGAUGCAUACCUCUUAAUCAUAAAGGCAAAACUACAAAUAACAAUACAAUUUAUUACCAGACUGAGA
This 539-nucleotide unclassified non-coding RNA is filed under the name Hevea brasiliensis (rubber tree). Lineage: Eukaryota; Viridiplantae; Streptophyta; Magnoliopsida; Malpighiales; Euphorbiaceae. The record is from RNAcentral.